UACGUAGGGUGCAAGCGUUGUCCGGAAUUAUUGGGCGUAAAGAGCUCGUAGGCGGCCUGUUGCGUCCGCUGUGAAAGCCCGGGGCUUAACCCCGGGUCGGCAGUGGAUACGGGCAGGCUAGAGGUAGGCAGGGGAGAAUGGAAUUCCCGGUGUAGCGGUGAAAUGCGCAGAUAUCGGGAGGAAGACCAGUGGCGAAGGCGGGUCUCUGGACAGUUCCUGACGCUGAGGCACGAAGGCCAGGGGAGCAAACGGGG
This 254-nucleotide ribosomal RNA is filed under the name uncultured bacterium. RNAcentral's name for it is "partial 16S ribosomal RNA". It matches the Rfam family "Bacterial small subunit ribosomal RNA", at positions 524 to 777 of the family's 1533-position model. The record is from RNAcentral.